This 286-nucleotide ribosomal RNA is filed under the name uncultured bacterium. RNAcentral's name for it is "partial 16S ribosomal RNA". It matches the Rfam family "Archaeal small subunit ribosomal RNA", at positions 456 to 735 of the family's 1478-position model. The record is from RNAcentral.
UGCCAGCCGCCGCGGUAAUACGGAGGGUGCGAGCGUUAAUCGGAAUCACUAUUAUUGGGUCUAAAGGGUCCGUAGCCGGUUUAAUCAGUCUUCCGGGAAAUCUGAUAGCUCAACUAUUAGGCUUCCGGGGGAUACUGUUAGACUUGGGACCGGGAGAGGUAAGAGGUACUACAGGGGUAGGAGUGAAAUCUUGUAAUCCCCGUGGGACCACCAGUGGCGAAGGCGUCUUACCAGAACGGGUCCGACGGUGAGGGACGAAAGCUGGGGGCACGAACCGGAUUAGAUA